GAUGAACGCUGACAGAAUGCUUAACACAUGCAAGUCGACUUGAAGCAACUUCGGUUGUGGAAAGUGGCGGACGGGUGAGUAACGCGUAAAGAACUUGCCCUUCAGUCUGGGACAACCAUUGGAAACGAUGGCUAAUACCGGAUAUUAUGGAACUCUCGCAUGGGAGGAUCAUGAAAGCUAUAUGCGCUGAAGGAGAGCUUUGCGUUCCAUUAGCUAGUUGGUGAGGUAACGGCUCACCAAGGCGACGAUGGAUAGCCGGCCUGAGAGGGUGAUCGGCCACAAGGGGACUGAGACACGGCCCUUACUCCUACGGGAGGCAGCAGUGGGGAAUAUUGGACAAUGGACCAAAAGUCUGAUCCAGCAAUUCUGUGUGCACGAUGAAGGUUUUCGGAUCGUAAAGUGCUUUCAGUUGGGAAGAAGAAAGUGACGGUACCAACAGAAGAAGCGACGGCUAAAUACGUGCCAGCAGCCGCGGUAAUACGUAUGUCGCAAGCGUUAUCCGGAUUUAUUGGGCGUAAAGCGCGUCUAGGCGGAUUCAUAAGUCUGAUGUUAAAAUGCGGGGCUCAACUCCGUAUUGCGUUGGAAACUGUGAAUCUAGAGUAUCAGAGAGGUGGGCGGAACUACAAGUGUAGAGGUGAAAUUCGUAGAUAUUUGUAGGAAUGCCGAUGGAGAAGUCAGCUCACUGGAUGAACACUGACGCUAAAGCGCGAAAGCGUGGGUAGCAAACAGG
RNAcentral lists this ribosomal RNA (730 nucleotides) under uncultured bacterium. Its description in RNAcentral is "bacterial SSU rRNA". It matches the Rfam family "Bacterial small subunit ribosomal RNA", at positions 28 to 776 of the family's 1533-position model. The record is from RNAcentral.